This 312-nucleotide unclassified non-coding RNA is filed under the name uncultured fungus. Its description in RNAcentral is "partial contains small subunit ribosomal RNA, internal transcribed spacer 1, and 5.8S ribosomal RNA". The stretch from base 1 to 73 matches the Rfam family "Eukaryotic small subunit ribosomal RNA", at positions 1759 to 1831 of the family's 1831-position model. The record is from RNAcentral. Lineage: Eukaryota; Fungi.
GCAAACUUGGUCAUUUAGAGGAAGUAAAAGUCGUAACAAGGUUUCCGUAGGUGAACCUGCGGAAGGAUCAUUAUCGAGAGUUGGGCUUCGGCCCGCACCCUCCACCCUUCAUGUGUACCUGCUCUGUUGCUUUGGCGGGACGUCGAGUCCGCUCGCCGGCGGCCCCUUCGCGGGGGUUGUCGAGCGCCCGCCAGAGACCUUUGCAAACUCUGUUCAAGCUUGGUCUUUGCAGGCCCUCUGGGCCGAUUUGAAAAAUGAAUCAAAACUUUCAACAACGGAUCUCUUGGUUCCGGCAUCGAUGAAGAACGCAGC